GGAGAGGCUGUGGCUCAGUGGUAGGGCACCUGCCUGCCAUGAAGACGUUUCCAGGUUCGAUCCCCAGCAUCUCCA
Molecule: transfer RNA, 75 nt
Filed under: Sphaerodactylus townsendi
Lineage: Eukaryota; Metazoa; Chordata; Lepidosauria; Squamata; Sphaerodactylidae
Description: tRNA-Gly
Source: RNAcentral